UCACUUUUCUGAAAGUGGCAGCAAACGAGAGACAUGUCUGACCUCUUCUCCACCUCAUCUCACCCAAAUCCGAAUGCAGAAGAAUAAUUUCGGAAGUGACUCUGGCAAUUUCCCUACUGCUCUGUCAGCCCUGGAUGGGUCUGCAAAUUCAUCACCCAGAUCAGCAAAACCGGAGGCCAUCCAUGAAUACACGAACUGAUGAGUGUUUUAUUACCUUCAACACAGCGCUUCCCAACCUGCAUGUUAUUCUGCAGAUUACAGAGUCAUGGUAUUAUAGCAAUUUGGAGAAGAAGAAAAAAUGAUUUCCUACUCUACCAUUUUAACAUGAUCAUAACAGAUAGCCGAGUAGUGUUGAGGCUAUGACAUGCGGUGGAAGAGAAGAGGCUGUGGAACCAGAAGUUCUGAGUCUAAAUCUCAACUCCAUGGGACCAGCUAUAAGACCUUCUGCGAGAUUUCCAUCCUCUCCUAGCCUCUUCCCCACUCCCCUGGAAGCAGAAAAUGGGGGGCUAUUUCACUGAGUUGUUGUAAAAAUGAAAUAGAUGAAAGCUCUGAAAAUACAUGAGAUUUAAUUAGACACACAGUUAAUAAAUUUCUCA
Molecule: long non-coding RNA, 596 nt
Organism: Eptesicus fuscus (big brown bat)
Lineage: Eukaryota; Metazoa; Chordata; Mammalia; Chiroptera; Vespertilionidae
Exons: 3
Source: RefSeq, a predicted model, not a curated record